GUUGAAAGAGCCGAUGGAGGACGGAAUUCGCCU
This 33-nucleotide ribosomal RNA is filed under the name 'Sophora alopecuroides' witches'-broom phytoplasma. RNAcentral's name for it is "partial 23S ribosomal RNA". The record is from RNAcentral. Lineage: Bacteria; Bacillati; Mycoplasmatota; Mollicutes; Acholeplasmatales; Acholeplasmataceae.